RNAcentral lists this ribosomal RNA (468 nucleotides) under uncultured bacterium. RNAcentral describes it as "partial 16S ribosomal RNA". It matches the Rfam family "Bacterial small subunit ribosomal RNA", at positions 28 to 507 of the family's 1533-position model. The record is from RNAcentral.
GACGAACGCUGGCGGCGUGCUUAACACAUGCAAGUCGAACGGAAAGGCCCUGCUUUUGUGGGGUGCUCGAGUGGCGAACGGGGGAGUAACACGUGAGUAACCUGCCCUGGACUUUGGGAUAACUUCAGGAAACUGGGGCUAAUACCGGAUAGGAGCUCCUGCUGCAUGGUGGGGGUGGGAAAGUUUCGGCGGUUGGGGAUGGACUCGCGGCUUAUCAGCUUGUUGGUGGGGUAGUGGCUUACCAAGGCUUUGACGGGUAGCCGGCCUGAGAGGGUGACCGGCCACAUUGGGACUGAGAUACGGCCCAGACUCCUACGGGAGGCAGCAGUGGGGAAUAUUGCACAAUGGGCGGAAGCCUGAUGCAGCAACGCCGCGUGCGGGAUGACGGCCUUCGGGUUGUAAACCGCUUUCGCCUGUGACGAAGCGUAAGUGACGGUAAUGGGUAAAGAAGCACCGGCUAACUACGUG